AGUAUUAUAUUUUAAUAAAAAAUUUUAAAUUGCAAAUUUAAAGAUAGGUCAUUCCUUAAUACUU
This 64-nucleotide transfer RNA is filed under the name Oreodytes scitulus. RNAcentral's name for it is "tRNA-Cys". The record is from RNAcentral. Lineage: Eukaryota; Metazoa; Arthropoda; Insecta; Coleoptera; Dytiscidae.